UUUACCCACUGAAAAAAUAUUUUUUCGAUUUCUAGGUGAAAAAAAUUAUUUUGAGACUAUUUGUUGGAAAUUAGUUUAUAAAAACACAAAGAAAACCUACAACGUCCAAGAAUCUGAUACUAAAUGAUAAAGAAUGAGUGUGUGGAAGAGAGUAUGAAUGAAUGUGGAAGAAGAUCGUAAAGUUUGUUAAAGUUGCGAACUUGUCUUAAGGCUCUAGACGUUUGGAACAAAAC
RNAcentral lists this long non-coding RNA (233 nucleotides) under Gossypium barbadense (sea-island cotton). RNAcentral's name for it is "long non-coding RNA (GBAR_LNC010693)". The record is from RNAcentral. Lineage: Eukaryota; Viridiplantae; Streptophyta; Magnoliopsida; Malvales; Malvaceae.